GACGAACGCUGGCGGCGUGCUUAACACAUGCAAGUCGAACGGAAAGGCCCUGCUUUUGUGGGGUGCUCGAGUGGCGAACGGGUGAGUAACACGUGAGUAACCUGCCCUUGACUUUGGGAUAACUUCAGGAAACUGGGGCUAAUACCGGAUAGGAGCUCCUGCUGCAUGGUGGGGGUUGGAAAGUUUCGGCGGUUGGGGAUGGACUCGCGGCUUAUCAGCUUGUUGGUGGGGUAGUGGCUUACCAAGGCUUUGACGGGUAGCCGGCCUGGGAGGGUGACCGGCCACAUUGGGACUGCGAUACGGCCCAGACUCCUACGGGAGGCAGCGGUGGGGAAUAUUGCACAGUGGGCGGAAGCCGGAUGCAGCAACGCCGCGUGCGGGAUGACGGCCUGCGGGUUGUAAACCGCUUUCGCCUGUGACGAAGCGUGAGUGACGGUAAUGGGUAAAGAAGCACCGGCUAACUACGUG
This 468-nucleotide ribosomal RNA is filed under the name uncultured bacterium. RNAcentral's name for it is "partial 16S ribosomal RNA". It matches the Rfam family "Bacterial small subunit ribosomal RNA", at positions 28 to 507 of the family's 1533-position model. The record is from RNAcentral.